CUGGCGGGCGUGCUAUACAUGCAAGUCGAACGAACUCUGGUAUUGAUUGGUGCUUGCAUCAUGAUUUACAUUUGAGUGAGUGGCGAACUGGUGAGUAACACGUGGGAAACCUGCCCAGAAGCGGGGGAUAACACCUGGAAACAGAUGCUAAUACCGCAUAACAACUUGGACCGCAUGGUCCGAGUUUGAAAGAUGGCUUCGGCUAUCACUUUUGGAUGGUCCCGCGGCGUAUUAGCUAGAUGGUGGGGUAACGGCUCACCAUGGCAAUGAUACGUAGCCGACCUGAGAGGGUAAUCGGCCACAUUGGGACUGAGACACGGCCCAAACUCCUACGGGAGGCAGCAGUAGGGAAUCUUCCACAAUGGACGAAAGUCUGAUGGAGCAACGCCGCGUGAGUGAAGAAGGGUUUCGGCUCGUAAAACUCUGUUGUUAAAGAAGAACAUAUCUGAGAGUAACUGUUCAGGUAUUGACGGUAUUUAACCAGAAAGCCACGGCUAACUACGUGCCAGCAGCCGCGGUAAUACGUAGGUGGCAAGCGUUGUCCGGAUUUAUUGGGCGUAAAGCGAGCGCAGGCGGUUUUUUAAGUCUGAUGUGAAAGCCUUCGGCUCAACCGAAGAAGUGCAUCGGAAACUGGGAAACUUGAGUGCAGAAGAGGACAGUGGAACUCCAUGUGUAGCGGUGAAAUGCGUAGAUAUAUGGAAGAACACCAGUGGCGAAGGCGGCUGUCUGGUCUGUAACUGACGCUGAGGCUCGAAAGUAUGGGUAGCAAACAGGAUUAGAUACCCUGGUAGUCCAUACCGUAAACGAUGAAUGCUAAGUGUUGGAGGGUUUCCGCCCUUCAGUGCUGCAGCUAACGCAUUAAGCAUUCCGCCUGGGGAGUACGGCCGCAAGGCUGAAACUCAAAGGAAUUGACGGGGGCCCGCACAAGCGGUGGAGCAUGUGGUUUAAUUCGAAGCUACGCGAAGAACCUUACCAGGUCUUGACAUACUAUGCAAAUCUAAGAGAUUAGACGUUCCCUUCGGGGACAUGGAUACAGGUGGUGCAUGGUUGUCGUCAGCUCGUGUCGUGAGAUGUUGGGUUAAGUCCCGCAACGAGCGCAACCCUUAUUAUCAGUUGCCAGCAUUAAGUUGGGCACUCUGGUGAGACUGCCGGUGACAAACCGGAGGAAGGUGGGGAUGACGUCAAAUCAUCAUGCCCCUUAUGACCUGGGCUACACACGUGCUACAAUGGAUGGUACAACGAGUUGCGAACUCGCGAGAGUAAGCUAAUCUCUUAAAGCCAUUCUCAGUUCGGAUUGUAGGCUGCAACUCGCCUACAUGAAGUCGGAAUCGCUAGUAAUCGCGGAUCAGCAUGCCGCGGUGAAUACGUUCCCGGGCCUUGUACACACCGCCCGUCACACCAUGAGAGUUUGUAACACCCAAAGUCGGUGGGGUAACCUUUUAGGAACCAGCCGCCUAAGGUGGAACAAGAUAGGUGU
RNAcentral lists this ribosomal RNA (1477 nucleotides) under Lactiplantibacillus plantarum. RNAcentral describes it as "bacterial SSU rRNA". It matches the Rfam family "Bacterial small subunit ribosomal RNA". Lineage: Bacteria; Bacillati; Bacillota; Bacilli; Lactobacillales; Lactobacillaceae. The record is from RNAcentral.